This 607-nucleotide ribosomal RNA is filed under the name Enterococcus casseliflavus. RNAcentral's name for it is "bacterial SSU rRNA". It matches the Rfam family "Bacterial small subunit ribosomal RNA", at positions 56 to 635 of the family's 1533-position model. Lineage: Bacteria; Bacillati; Bacillota; Bacilli; Lactobacillales; Enterococcaceae. The record is from RNAcentral.
UGCAAGUCGAACGCUUUUUCUUUCACCGGAGCUUGCUCCACCGAAAGAAAAAGAGUGGCGAACGGGUGAGUAACACGUGGGUAACCUGCCCAUCAGAAGGGGAUAACACUUGGAAACAGGUGCUAAUACCGUAUAACACUAUUUUCCGCAUGGAAGAAAGUUGAAAGGCGCUUUUGCGUCACUGAUGGAUGGACCCGCGGUGCAUUAGCUAGUUGGUGAGGUAACGGCUCACCAAGGCAACGAUGCAUAGCCGACCUGAGAGGGUGAUCGGCCACACUGGGACUGAGACACGGCCCAGACUCCUACGGGAGGCAGCAGUAGGGAAUCUUCGGCAAUGGACGAAAGUCUGACCGAGCAACGCCGCGUGAGUGAAGAAGGUUUUCGGAUCGUAAAACUCUGUUGUUAGAGAAGAACAAGGAUGAGAGUAAAAUGUUCAUCCCUUGACGGUAUCUAACCAGAAAGCCACGGCUAACUACGUGCCAGCAGCCGCGGUAAUACGUAGGUGGCAAGCGUUGUCCGGAUUUAUUGGGCGUAAAGCGAGCGCAGGCGGUUUCUUAAGUCUGAUGUGAAAGCCCCCGGCUCAACCGGGGAGGGUCAUUGGAAACUG